UGGCGGUAAUGCGCCUAUUUAUGUUGGUUGCCAGCUGGUGUUAAAAAACAAAUCAAGUUACAGGUAAUAAAUGUAUUGUUAUUAAAAAUUUAGCAUAUUGUUUUGAUUUAUUUUCAAACCGAGUAAGAAGUGGUGGUGAAGAGCACACGAAUCUGAUAAAACGCUUCGACUUUGGAGAACAACCUGAGCAUAAGGUUAGUGAAUUGGGCUGGAAGUACCUUUAAGAUGCUCUGAAAUGUAAAAAUAUGUGAUCUUGACACUAUCUUGACGUCCCAGACAUGAACUUAAUGUAACUUCCAGGUUUAACUGUAGUCAAUUGUAUGCCUUGUUGUUGUUGUUGUUUGUAAUUACGUUAGCUCGUUAGCAAAUAGAGCUAAGUUACCAGAACUCUGUAAGAGCUCGGUAAAGUACAAAUCAAAUCACUUUUAUUGUCACAUCUAAUGCGCUACAUGAACUGGAUAUAUAAAAUGUCAUGAGUGUGCAUUGGACGGUAUAUCCAGUGGUAGCAGAUCGAUUAUUGUAUUAAGUGCAGUGUGUACUUAUAGUCUAGUAUUGAACUGUGUUAGUGUUAAAGUGCAGUGUGUGGCAUAUCGUAUAGUGGGAGUACGCUGUAGGGAGGGUGUAUUAGUUCUGACUGUUCAUUAGUAAUGCAGGCAGUAAUGCAGCACGUUCAGGAUUCUUUCUAUAGUGCAGGUGAAGGAUGUUUUGAGGAUGCUGCGGCUCAUUCCAAACUUCCUCAGCCAUGUCAGGAAGAAGAGGCAGUGAUGUGCCUUCUUCAGCACUGCAUCAGUGUGUGUGUAGACCAUGUGAAGUCCUCAUUGAUGUGAACGCCGAGGAACUUGGUGAUGGGUGUGUGUUCUCUGCUCUCACUCCUGAAAUCCACCACCAGCUCCUUGGUCUUGUCGAUGCUGAGUGUUCUCCUGACCCCAUUUAGUCAGGGAGCUCACCUCAUCUCUGUAGGCCGUCUCAUCUUUGUUUUGAGGAAAACUCACUUGUAGCUCGUUUUCAUCACUACAAAUGAAAAGCGCAUUAAUUGUGUAGUAAAAAUGUUUUGCUCAUGAUUUAUUGAUCCGGAAAAUUUGAAUCUGUGAAUAUCUUGACAGCUUCAUCUGCUCUGUGCCACCUUCCUCAAUGGAUCCAAUACAAUUUGGAUAUUGUAGCAAGCGUUCCCAAGAUGAUGUUAUUUCUUUCACUGCUCUCUCAGAUUUGGAAAAUAACACCACCCAUGUGAGAACACUGUUUGUGGAGUACAGCUCAGCAUUUAAUACCAUAGUGCCUGCCCAACUUGUUCCAGACUCUGGCACUAAAUAGGUCUCUUUGAAGCUUGAUCCUGGACUUCCUGACAGGCAGAAGUCAGGUGGUCAGAAUGGGCAACAAUAAUGUGUCCUCAGCCCACUCCUUUACUCGUGCACACAGGACUAUGCAGCCACACACCUCUCUAAUGUCAUCGUCAAAAUUUAGUUUAUUAAUAAAUAAUCAUAAAAAAUUCUGCCAAAGCAAUUAUUUUCAAAAUGGGUGUUGUAGCAUAACCUGCAGGAGAGCAGUGAUGUGCAGUGUGUUACAGUGAAGUUAUUAACUAUUUUGUCCAAUAACAAUGGUAAUAACUAUUUUUCAUUUUAAAUAAGCAUAAAACCAUGCACAAGCAAUUGUUUUCAAAAAUAACUGUUGUAGUAUAACCAGCAGGAAAGACAUGAUUUGUGAACUGAAUUUGGUGAUACUACAGUGUGUUACUGUGAUGUUAUUGAGUAUUUAUUAGUAAAAUAUUUCGUGUUUCACAGGUUGCAGACAGUCCCUUCAGACUUGUCUCUCAGAUGCCAGCGCUAUGAUAUCAAUGCAUUUUGUACAGAGCAGAGGAAAACUACAUUGUUUUGAGGAAACUACAUUACUACAAAUUAAAAGAAGCGUCAAUUGUGUAGUAAAAACUUUUUGCCUGGGAGUUAUUGAUCCAUAAAAGUUGAAUCUGAGAAUAUCUUACCAACUUUAGCAAACUAAUUACUUUGGUUCUGGCACUGGCCCUCUAGGGUAGAUUUAAUAGUCAUUCAUAUUUAUUUAUUAAAUAGACUUAAUAAAAAAUAUAGAACAAAAUUGUGAUGAUGAUUGAAGAGAAAGAGGACUCAAAUGCGAGGGCAAUAACGAUAGUCUUUAAUUAAACAAAGUCAAGCCACAGGUAAAUCCAACAAAGGCGUGGGAGAAAUGGAUGAAACAGAGGAUGACCCGUAGACUGGGUUGUACAAACAAACUCAGAUGACCUCUGUGGCAGGAACGACCAGCAGACUGGCGGGCCGGAGGCUUAACAGGGCUCACGGAGGAACCGGCGGCCGGUGCUCGCAGAGCGGGGAGGCCGAGGCGUUAUACAGCAGGACUUUGAUUUAGGUUUGGACACAACUAAGCCAACCACAACAUCGAUUGGAACAUCUGCAAAAUGACAUAUAAAACAACUUUCAUGCUAAUGCUCAUGUCAGAAUUGGCAUUCCCUGUACUGACAUUGUCAACUAGUCGCCCUGUGGCAGUUAUUCUGGGGGAACGUGCCAUUCUCCCUUGUAAAAACACAUGUACUGGACCUUUAACCUGGACAUUUACUGGUGGUAGGAAGAGACUGGAGGUUUUGAAAGUUGUACCGAAGGAGGUGGCUUUAAAACCAGAUUGAGCCUUUCCACUGAAAAGACCAAGAAUGGAGAUCUGUUCAACAGUUCUCUGCAAUUCAUUUUUAGAAGUUCUGUUCCCUGUCCCUGUCCCUGUAACAGUAAAUGUGUCAGUUAGGGAAGACGUGACACUACCUUGCUAUGCUUAUACUGACAAAGAGGUUGCUGACGAUGCUGUAAACAUCCUGUGGAAAAAGGGUGACCAUAUAGCUGUGCAAGUUCAAAAUGGAAUUACGAACUAUGGCUCAGGUUAUGCAGAGAGGGGCCUUUGUUGCAGUAAGUGGUUAUAAAGAUGGAGACCUUUCCUUUUCAAUACGCAGAGCCACCACAUUAGACCAAGGACUAUACCAGUGUUAACACAGCACAGAAGAGGAAAAUGGAUACCCAGGAGCUGUUGUUCUCAACAUUGAAGCUUAUCAGAGUCUGGUGAUUUUCUUACCUUGGAUUUGUUCGUCUCAGACCCUGUGACAAUAAGUUUCACCAGUGCUAAUACAACAGAGAUCCUGCUCUGCAGUGUAGAGAGAAGCAUUGCUACAUGUAGCCCUGACUACACUCACAGAGUGUCUGUCGUCGAUACCUCCCUUGUGCUGCAUGAAUUAACGGGAUCUGAUGCUGGAUUCUUUACAGUGAAAGACAAGAUGGAUGUAAUGGUUGCCAUUUACAAUGUUGCUGUGAAAAGUAUGUUUUAAGUUUUGUACAUUUUACAUACUGUUCACUAGAAGGUGCAAUAUGUUAUAAAAUGAUUGUAAUAAUAUUAACUCCAUAACUAAAGGAAGAAGGAGGCAGGAACCGGCGCACAAACCAAAAUUAAACUUUAAUAUUCAAAAUAAACAAAAACAGCACACCAGCCCCUCA
Molecule: RNA transcript, 3497 nt
Organism: Carassius auratus (goldfish)
Lineage: Eukaryota; Metazoa; Chordata; Actinopteri; Cypriniformes; Cyprinidae
Exons: 4
Source: RefSeq, a predicted model, not a curated record